AUUGAACGCUGGCGGAAUGCUUUACACAUGCAAGUCGAGCGGCAGCACGGGGGCAACCCUGGUGGCGAGCGGCGAACGGGUGAGUAACACAUCGGAACGUACCCUGUCGUGGGGGAUAACGAGUCGAAAGAUUCGCUAAUACCGCAUACGACCCGAGGGUGAAAGCGGGGGAUCGCAAGACCUCGCGCGACUGGAGCGGCCGAUGGCGGAUUAGCUAGUUGGUGGGGUAAAGGCCCACCAAGGCGACGAUCCGUAGCGGGUCUGAGAGGACGGCCCGCCACACUGGGACUGAGACACGGCCCAGACUCCUACGGGAGGCAGCAGUAAGGAAUAUUGGUCAAUGGAGGGAACUCUGAACCAGCCAUCCCGCGUGAAGGAUGAAGGGGCUCUGCCUUGUAAACUUCUUUUGCAUGGGACGAAAAAACUUAAUUUAUUAAGGACUGACGGUACCAUGAGAAUAAGCACCGGCUAACUCCGUGCCAGCAGCCGCGGUAAGUCUCGCGUGA
Molecule: ribosomal RNA, 506 nt
Filed under: uncultured bacterium
Lineage: Bacteria
Description: bacterial SSU rRNA
Rfam family: Bacterial small subunit ribosomal RNA
Source: RNAcentral